This 497-nucleotide ribosomal RNA is filed under the name uncultured bacterium. RNAcentral describes it as "partial 16S ribosomal RNA". It matches the Rfam family "Bacterial small subunit ribosomal RNA", at positions 28 to 507 of the family's 1533-position model. The record is from RNAcentral.
GACGAACGCUGGCGGCGUGCCUAAUACAUGCAAGUUGAGCGCUGAAGGUUGGUACUUGUACCAACUGGAUGAGCAGCGAACGGGUGAGUAACGCGUGGGGAAUCUGCCUUUGAGCGGGGGACAACAUUUGGAAGCGAAUGCUAAUACCGCAUAAAAACUUUAAACACAAGUUUUAAGUUUGAAAGAUGCAAUUGCAUCACUCAAAGAUGAUCCCGCGUUGUAUUAGCUAGUUGGUGAGGUAAAGGCUCACCAAGGCGAUGAUACAUAGCCGACCUGAGAGGGUGAUCAGCCACAUUGGGAAUGGGACACGGCCCAAACUCCUACGGGAGGCAGCAGUAGGGAAUCUUCGGCAAUGGACGGAAGUCUGACCGAGCAACGCCGCGUGAGUGAAGAAGGUUUUCGGAUCGUAAAACUCUGUUGGUAGAGAAGAACGUUGGUGAGAGUGGAAAGCUCAUCAAGUGACGGUAACUACCCAGAAAGGGACGGCUAACUACGUG